GCCGGGCGCGGUGGCACAUGCCUGUAGUCCUAGCUACUCUGGAGGCUGAGAUGGGAGGAUCACUUGAGUUCAGGAGUUCUGGGCUGCAGUGCACUAUGCCGAUCGGGUGUCCACACUAAGUUUGGCAUCAAUAUGGUGACCUCCCAGGAGCGGGGGACCACCGGGUUGCCUAAGUAGGGGUGAACAGGCCCAGGUUGGAAAUAGAGCAGGUCAAAACUCCCGUGCUGAUCAGUAGCGGGAUUGCACCUGUGAAUAGCCACUGCACUCCAGCCUGGGCAACAUAGCAAGACCCCAUCUCU
This 299-nucleotide signal recognition particle RNA is filed under the name Aotus nancymaae (Ma's night monkey). RNAcentral describes it as "Metazoan signal recognition particle RNA (ENSANAG00000001900.1)". It matches the Rfam family "Metazoan signal recognition particle RNA". Rfam says of the family: The signal recognition particle (SRP) is a universally conserved ribonucleoprotein. The record is from RNAcentral. Lineage: Eukaryota; Metazoa; Chordata; Mammalia; Primates; Aotidae.